GACGAACGCUGGCGGCGUGCUUAACACAUGCAAGUCGAACGGAAAGGCCCUGCUUUUGUGGGGUGCUCGAGUGGCGAACGGGUGAGUAACACGUGAGUAACCUGCCCUUGACUUUGGGAUAACUUCAGGAAACUGGGGCUAAUACCGGAUAGGAGCUCCUGCUGCAUGGUGGGGGUUGGAAAGUUUCGGCGGUUGGGGAUGGACUCGCGGCUUAUCAGCUUGUUGGUGGGGUAGUGGCUUACCAAGGCUUUGACGGGUAGCCGGCCUGAGAGGGUGACCGGCCACAUUGGGACUGAGAUACGGCCCAGACUCCUACGGGAGGCGGCAGUGGGGAAUAUUGCACAAUGGGUGGAAGCCUGAUGCAGCAACGCCGUGUGCGGGAUGACGGCCUUCGGGUUGUAAACCGCUUUCGCUCAUGACGAAGCUUUGUGUGACGGUAGUGGGUAAAGAAGCACCGGCUAACUACGUG
RNAcentral lists this ribosomal RNA (469 nucleotides) under uncultured bacterium. Its description in RNAcentral is "partial 16S ribosomal RNA". It matches the Rfam family "Bacterial small subunit ribosomal RNA", at positions 28 to 507 of the family's 1533-position model. The record is from RNAcentral.